RNAcentral lists this ribosomal RNA (805 nucleotides) under cf. Stomiopeltis sp. RS7.1. RNAcentral describes it as "eukaryotic LSU rRNA". It matches the Rfam family "Eukaryotic large subunit ribosomal RNA", at positions 41 to 883 of the family's 3401-position model. Lineage: Eukaryota; Fungi; Ascomycota; Dothideomycetes; Capnodiales. The record is from RNAcentral.
UAUCAAUAAGCGGAGGAAAAGAAACCAACAGGGAUUGCCCUAGUAACGGCGAGUGAAGCGGCAACAGCUCAAAUUUGAAAUCGGCCCCCCGGUCGAGUUGUAAUUUGCAGAGGAUGCUUCUGGGCAGCGGCCGGUCUAAGUUCCUUGGAACAGGACGUCAUAGAGGGUGAGAAUCCCGUAUGCGACCGGCGCGCACCCUCGACGUAGCUCCUUCGACGAGUCGAGUUGUUUGGGAAUGCAGCUCUAAAUGGGAGGUAAAUUUCUUCUAAAGCUAAAUACCGGCCAGAGACCGAUAGCGCACAAGUAGAGUGAUCGAAAGAUGAAAAGCACUUUGGAAAGAGAGUUAAAAAGCACGUGAAAUUGUUGAAAGGGAAGCGCUUGCCACCAGACUUGACGGCGGGGUUCCGCCGGUCUUUUGACCGGUCCACUCCCCGCCGGCAGGCCAACAUCGUCUGGGGCCGCCGGAUAAGACGUUGGGAAUGUAGCUCCUCGGAGUGUUAUAGCCCUUCGUGAUACGGCGCGCCCCGGGCGAGGUCCGCGCUUCGGCAAGGAUGUUGGCGUAAUGGUUGUCAGCGGCCCGUCUUGAAACACGGACCAAGGAGUCUAACAUCUAUGCGAGUGUUCGGGUGUCAAACCCCUACGCGUAAUGAAAGUGAACGGAGGUGGGAGCUUCGGCGCACCAUCGACCGAUCCUGAUGUCCUCGGAUGGAUUUGAGUAAGAGCAUAGCUGUUGGGACCCGAAAGAUGGUGAACUAUGCCUGAAUAGGGUGAAGCCAGAGGAAACUCUGGUGGAGGCUCGCAGCGG